Molecule: ribosomal RNA, 497 nt
Filed under: uncultured bacterium
Lineage: Bacteria
Description: partial 16S ribosomal RNA
Rfam family: Bacterial small subunit ribosomal RNA
Source: RNAcentral
GACGAACGCUGGCGGCGUGCCUAAUACAUGCAAGUUGAGCGAUGAAGCUUGGUGCUUGCACCAAUUUGAAGAGCAGCGAACGGGUGAGUAACGCGUGGGGAAUCUGCCUUUGAGCGGGGGACGACAUUUGGAAACGAAUGCUAAUACCGCAUAACAACUUUAAACAUAAGUUUUAAGUUUGAAAGAUGCAAUUGCAUCACUCAAAGAUGAUCCCGCGUUGUAUUAGCUAGUUGGUGAGGUAAAGGCUCACCAAGGCGAUGAUACAUAGCCGACCUGAGAGGGUGAUCGGCCACAUUGGGACUGAGACACGGCCCAAACUCCUACGGGAGGCAGCAGUAGGGAAUCUUCGGCAAUGGACGAAAGUCUGACCGAGCAACGCCGCGUGAGUGAAGAAGGUUUUCGGAUCGUAAAACUCGGUUGGUAGAGAAGAACGUUGGUGAGAGUGGAAAGCUCAUCAAGUGACGGUAACUACCCAGAAAGGGACGGCUAACUACGUG